Prionailurus viverrinus (fishing cat) is the source of this 530-nucleotide long non-coding RNA. RefSeq lists it as uncharacterized. Lineage: Eukaryota; Metazoa; Chordata; Mammalia; Carnivora; Felidae. The record is from RefSeq and is a predicted model, not a curated record. The transcript is spliced from 3 exons.
GCAUAAUCUUAAGAAGUCACCUCACUCUCUUGACCACAGGCCCCUCAUUUGUGGAGGUGGAUUUGAAACCAUUUAUCUUAUAAGGUUACCGUGCAGAUUAAAUAAGACAAUGUAGGAAAAACUGUUAGCACAAUAGCAGGUAAAGCUGAAACAGAUGGUUACUAAGGAGACUAUCAGCUUUAUGACCUGAAGAAAGCAAAAUUUCACCCCUGGAAAAAAGUCUGCUACCUCACAAGCAGACAGCCUUUGAAUGUGAACUGGAACAUCAGCUCUCCUGGGUCUCCAGCCUGUUGGCCCAACCUACAGAUUUCAGACUUGCUAGUCUCUAUAAUCAUGUGGCUCAGUGCAAACAGCAUGUCUUGGAGUGAAGUAUAUCGGAGUGAAAUCUCAGGUCCACCAGUCACCAAAUCCUCUACAUGCUAACUCUCUCUUCUGUAAAAUCAAUUGCUAUUUCACAGAAUAAUUGGACUAAGAAAGACAAUAUAUAAAGAGCUAAUAAUGGAGAUACAAUAAAAUGUUUGUUUUCUUUC